Molecule: RNA transcript, 2128 nt
Organism: Alosa alosa (allis shad)
Lineage: Eukaryota; Metazoa; Chordata; Actinopteri; Clupeiformes; Clupeidae
Exons: 2
Source: RefSeq, a predicted model, not a curated record
UAUUGCCAUAUAUCACAUUUCUGUAUGGGUGGUCAUGUUAACAGUCAUGUGUUGCUUAUGUUUUGUUUAUUAGCUGCUAGCUAGAUAGAUGAAACGAUGAUGUUGCUUUUUCUCUGUGUGUCGCCUAUUAAAGCUGCCCAGACAACUAGCUAACUCACUAUCCUAAAAUUGUCCUUAUCACAGGAGAGGUGUCGAUGGACAUCGACAGUCCAGAUUUUGUGCCCUCCGUGUUCGUCUACACAACAGAGGGGGAGAAUCCUCAGUCUAAAUUAGACAGGUCAACGUUAAUGCUAGCUGCCAGCAUAAGGUUAGCUAGCUAACGCUAGCAUUCUCAUACCAUAGGCUGUAGCCUACUAAAGGUUGUGUACUCUCUCUUGCAUUGUUGUGUUACAGACGAAGCUGUCACGUUUUCUUUGGCUAUCACAGCCGUUUAUUCUGAUAAAUAGCAGAAUAGUGUUUCACAAUCACGUUCUUUGCUAUAAAAAGCUUCAGUUAGCUAAAUGAAAACAAAAACGAUUCAGUUCACUGUUCCCAAGUUAUAACGUAAAAGUUAGGUUAUCGAGCUAGGCUCCAACCAGAUUAGCAAGAUAGCACAACGUGGUGGACUUUUUCAUUUAAGCUAAAACAAAACAAAAAUGGUCUCUAAUAUAAAAAUGAGAGACCUCCUGUGUGGAUAUACUGCUUGCAUACCAACAUAUUAUCACAAUGAACACCUUUAGCUAUAACAGUGUGGAGCUUAUGUUAUGACUUCCCACGAAACAGGCUACUGCAGACUGGUGAUGGUGUGUAAUAACUUGACCUAAAGUUUGCAAAAUAGCACCAAUAGAUGGCGCUCGUGUUACAGAGAAUGAAUCUUUACCUUUUAAUGGCAAGUGGAAUUAUUAACUCCACUACGUAUGGGCAAACAGUAGUGUUACUUUGAAUGAACAGCUACUAUAAGUGAAACUUUGACAAUGACUUCAAUUUCUCUCACUGAAGGUUCAAUCGUAAGAGGAGGAGGGAUGAGAUAGGCCUACCUAGUUCUACUAUUCCAACAGACACCUCCAUGUCAGAAGAACAGCUGCCAAGUGCUACUGUUGUUGUUGUGAAACAGAAGAAGAGGAUGUGGUCCCCAUUGCUGAGUACAAUGCACUGCGUGUGAGCCAUGACCGGCUACAGGAGGAAUGUGCCAGUCUCCAUCGGGAUGUUAUAAGACUGACAGCUGAAAACGAGAAGCUCAAAGAAGAUCUCAAAGUCUCACGGUUUUGCUAUAGCACUAUCAAAAGUGACAUUGCUCAGUUUAUAUUUCUCACAGGUCUUCAGACCAUAGUCUUUGAUUGGCUCAUACAAACGUUAUCUGGCACUGUUGAUGUGGUUUGUAACAAAAUUAGUUUCCAAGAUCAUUUAUUGGUAGUACUUAUGAAAUUAAAAAUUGGCUUUAGCAAUAAAUACCUGGCUUAUAAAUUCAAUGUCUCUAACAGCACUAUAUCCAAAAUCUGUCGCACGUGGAUACCAACCAUGGCAAUUGUACUGAAACCCCUCAUAAAAUGGCCAAGUAAGGGAGCGGUACUCAAGAGUCUACCAAAAUCGUUCAAAAAUUUCAAAAGAUGUAGAUGCAUUAUUGAUUGCACUGAAAUUUUCAUUGACAGAACUACAAAUUUAACAGCAACAAACAUGGUCAAAUUAUAAACAUAACAACACUAUAAAAUAUCUAAUUGGAAUUUCUCCUGCUGGGGCAAUAACUUUUAUUUCUGGGGGUUGGGGUGGUCGGGUCUCUGACAAACAAAUAACCAAGGAGUCUGGCUUUUUGAGUCUUUUAGAGCAAAGCGAUGACAUUCUGGCUGACAGGGGAUUCUUAAUCAGAGAUGAUUUGGCAGCAUUAGGCGUAACAUUGCGAAUACCCUCUUUCACAAAAGGUAAAAAACAACUUGGAGCCCAUGAAGUAGAUAGGUCCAGACAACUUUCACGGGUACGUAUACAUGUGGAGCGUGUGAUUGGCCGUUGGAAAACAUUUAAAAUAUUGCAGACCGUCAUUCCCGUGUCACAGGUAGACAUGCUAGAUGACAUUGUUGUAGUUUGUGCUGCCCUUACAAACCUCUACAACAGUGUUGUGCAGUAAAAACAUGAUUAAGGCUAUGGUUUAUGAUUG